GACUCCUACGGGAGGCAGCAGUGGGGAAUAUUGGAUAAUGGGCGCAAGCCUGAUCCAGUAAUGCCGCGUGAGUGAUGAAGGCCUUCGGGUCGUAAAGCUCUUUUACCAGGGAUGAUAAUGACAGUACCUGGAGAAUAAGCCCCGGCUAACUUCGUGCCAGCAGCCGCGGUAAUA
This 174-nucleotide ribosomal RNA is filed under the name uncultured bacterium. Its description in RNAcentral is "partial 16S ribosomal RNA". It matches the Rfam family "Bacterial small subunit ribosomal RNA", at positions 334 to 525 of the family's 1533-position model. The record is from RNAcentral.